This 811-nucleotide ribosomal RNA is filed under the name uncultured euryarchaeote. Its description in RNAcentral is "bacterial SSU rRNA". It matches the Rfam family "Archaeal small subunit ribosomal RNA", at positions 48 to 859 of the family's 1478-position model. The record is from RNAcentral. Lineage: Archaea; Methanobacteriati; Methanobacteriota.
GCCAUGCUAGUUGUACGAGUUUAGACUCGUAGCAGAUAGCUCAGUAACACGUGGCCAAACUACCCUAUGGAUCCGGACAACCUCGGGAAACUGAGGCUAAUCCGGAAUACGACUCUCAGCCUGGAAGUGGCGAGAGUCAGAAACGCUCCGGCGCCAUAGGAUGUGGCUGCGGCCGAUUAGGUAGACGGUGGGGUAACGGCCCACCGUGCCCAUAAUCGGUACGGGUUGUGAGAGCAAGAGCCCGGAGACGGUAUCUGAGACAAGAUACCGGGCCCUACGGGGCGCAGCAGGCGCGAAACCUUUACACUGCACGAAAGUGCGAUAAGGGGACUCCAAGUGCGAGGGCAUAUAGCCCUCGCUUUUCACCACCGUAAGGAGGUGGUAGAAUAAGUGCUGGGCAAGACCGGUGCCAGCCGCCGCGGUAAUACCGGCAGCACGAGUGAUGACCGCUCUUAUUGGGCCUAAAGCGUCCGUAGCUGGCCACGCAAGUCUAUCGGGAAAUCCGCGCGCUCAACGCGCGGGCGUCCGGUGGAAACUGUGUGGCUUGGGACCGGAAGAUCCAGAGGGUACGUCUGGGGUAGGAGUGAAAUCCCGUAAUCCUGGACGGACCACCGGUGGCGAAAGCGCUCUGGAAAGACGGAUCCGACGGUGAGGGACGAAAGCUCGGGUCACGAACCGGAUUAGAUACCCGGGUAGUCCGAGCUGUAAACGAUGUCUGCUAGGUGUGCCACAGGCUACGAGCCUGUGGUGUGCCGUAGGGAAGCCGUGAAGCAGACCGCCUGGGAAGUACGUCCGCAAGGAUGAAACUUAA